This 296-nucleotide ribosomal RNA is filed under the name Lacticaseibacillus paracasei. RNAcentral's name for it is "Lactobacillus paracasei partial 16S ribosomal RNA". It matches the Rfam family "Bacterial small subunit ribosomal RNA", at positions 1 to 267 of the family's 1533-position model. Lineage: Bacteria; Bacillati; Bacillota; Bacilli; Lactobacillales; Lactobacillaceae. The record is from RNAcentral.
UUUAUAUGAGAGUUUGAUCCUGGCUCAGGAUGAACGCUGGCGGCGUGCCUAAUACAUGCAAGUCGAACGAGUUCUCGUUGAUGAUCGGUGCUUGCACCGAGAUUCAACAUGGAACGAGUGGCGGACGGGUGAGUAACACGUGGGUAACCUGCCCUUAAGUGGGGGAUAACAUUUGGAAACAGAUGCUAAUACCGCAUAGAUCCAAGAACCGCAUGGUUCUUGGCUGAAAGAUGGCGUAAGCUAUCGCUUUUGGAUGGACCCGCGGCGUAUUAGCUAGUUGGUGAGGUAAUGGCUCA